AAUGGUGAUACCAUCAGCUCCACCACGCAGGCUCGCUGCCUAGAUGUUCUCUUCUACUCCAAUCUUUGCUUCACCCCUUAUGUCCAGUUAAUCGUCAAAUCAUGCACUUUCAUCUCAAAAACAUUGAGCGCAUCCACCCCUACUUCACGCCAAAUACAGCUAAGGUCCUGGACCACGCCACUGUCAUCUCUUACCUUGACUACUGCAAUCUGCUUCUCAGUACUCUCAACUUGCACCAUUACUGUCUAUAAUGAAUGCAGCGGUGAGUCUCAUCUUCCUGUCCCCCCGCACCUCCCACGCCUCCCUCCU
Pelobates cultripes (western spadefoot toad) is the source of this 309-nucleotide non-coding RNA. The record is from the annotation of a GenBank genome assembly. Lineage: Eukaryota; Metazoa; Chordata; Amphibia; Anura; Pelobatidae.